CGUCGAACGCCAUCAAUCAAAUUUUCGAACAUAAUUAAUAAUAUCGCCACCAAGAGGACACCAACGUCACAUGUUCUUUCACCCACUGCAUUAAAAUGAAAUGACACAAACGUUUAAUUGUUUUUUAAAUUGCUUAUGAACGCAUGGACUCUUUUCGACCAACAGGCGGCGACUCAACUACAAAAUCGAGGACCCCAGAACUCCCCUUACCGCGAACACGUCGACGCGCGCCCGCCAUCUCAACGUGUGCGUCCACGUGUCGAUGCGGAAGGUGCUGGAUGGCGUGAGGACGCCGAGGGCUGGUGGGCCCCCAGAACACCUUCCUGGAAAACAUUGUCCGCAGGUCCAGCGGAACAUGGGAUGUCAAGUGUACGACUCCUGAAGCAGAAUGGCCAGGCAACUGAUGAUCUUUUCCGGCCCCUACCCUUGACCGCCGCGAGUGAGGAGAUGCCGUGCUCUUAUCUGCCGGCACCCGCUGUCCUGACUGCGGCGUAGGCGGCAAGCAUUAGCUGUUUUGCGUUUCCUUACUGUGCAUUUUUUUUUGGGAAGCGGGGUCACUUGCAUUGCUCCUCCACUGGCCUGCUGUGCCAAUGAAAGAGCCUACAAUUAUGUCAUUUUGUCAUAAACAGUGUCUACACGUUGCUUGCAUGCAGCAGAGUACAGAACAUCUUUUAGAAACGACACGAUGGAAACCGCCUUCAGACUGAAAUGAGACUUUUCGGGGACACCUUGUUUCUACGCCAAGCAACCUUCAAUGACACCAGAAGCCGAUGUGCAGAAAUCUUGGACGUUGAACAGAAAAGGAAAACAUUCACUGUAUUUGUGUGUUGAGCUGUUAAUAAUACUACUGAUAAUAAUACUGAUAAUGAUGUGCACAUGCAAGGUGCUCAAGUGGUUUUGACUUUGUUUGGCUUGUCGUGACCUCAACUGAAGAGGUCAUGGGGAUGGUUCACGAUCAGCUGACUCGAGAUGUAAUGCACCAAUGUGAAUGUUUGCUUUGCCAGUAGUUCCCAAUUGUUCUUAUCGUCUUGCUCUCGUGGGUUUGCUGUACAAUCCCCCAGGUCCCCCCAGGUCCCUCCAACCAUCCCCCCGUGCAUUCAUAAACACGAUAGGAUAAAUCAAGAAAUCAAGUUGGCCAAAUGGGGAAAUUUGUCGUUUGCAUAAGCAUGUUUAGUCUAAGCUGAUGCUUUCUGUGAGGGGCAUACUAAAUGAUAGCGCGUGCAGGAACAUGCUUGUUUCCGCUCACGGUCGAGCAUUGCCAAGCUCCACUGUCGUCGGGUGGUGUUUCUGCAUCCAGUGUGCGCUGCUGCCUUUUUGCCUUCAUGGCUUUUGUGGUGUUGUGCCAAGUAGAGCGACACACUCCAGUGGUGUGUGCAAUGUGCCGUUCAUUUCAAGUUUACUGUGUCUGGGCUCGCACUUUACAGACUCCUUGAUGGGGGAAAUGUGAGUGUACACGCGUUUAUGUCAAAUUAGGUGAAGAAUAUGACUUUUUAUUUGUGAUGAACUAUUAAAUAUGUAAUGUAAAAAUGCACGCCCAUCGAUGUGAUCCAUGGCUGUGGCGUUCCUGCUCCUGUGUCCGCUGGGCCAACGUGUUACCAUGGUAACCACGUUAUCCAUUUGAAGCUUAAAGCCAAAGCUUAAGUCUACUCAUGAACCACUUAUUGAUGAAGAUAAAAUGUUUGUGUACAAUGUGUAACUUUGAAAUUGUAUCAUCAACUUGUUCUGAACAUAUGAUUGCAACGUGUAUAUGGGUUUUAAAAAGAAAGCUCAUGUAUAUUUAAUUUUAGCAAUGAUUGUUUGAACGUAAUUUAAUGGGGUUAACAAUGAUUCCGCAAUGCUGGGUGUUUGCACGAGUGUGUGCGUGUUGCCAGUUUUUCCGUCAUGUCACAAAGAUAAGCUUUGGAAAUUAAAAUGACUUGAUGCUGUGAUAAAUGUGCGUCUGCUGCUGCUUCCAACGUGUCUCUCUUAAAAGUAAGUUUUAUUAAUACCUGCAUGUAAGUUUGUACGGUUUGUAUGAAAAUGCUUGCCGCCGCUUCUCCUUACAUACAUUGUGACCAACAAAGCUGACACAAUAUGAAGUUGUCAUUUCUCGUAAUUGUUGAUGAAUGAAAUGUUUAGAGUGAGGAGCUAUAAAGGUGUUCUGUCAUAAACUGACUCUGCCUGUUUUCCCAACACAACUC
This is a long non-coding RNA of Phyllopteryx taeniolatus (common seadragon), 2180 nucleotides long. RefSeq lists it as uncharacterized. Lineage: Eukaryota; Metazoa; Chordata; Actinopteri; Syngnathiformes; Syngnathidae. The transcript has 3 exons. The record is from RefSeq and is a predicted model, not a curated record.